RNAcentral lists this transfer RNA (73 nucleotides) under Marmota monax (woodchuck). Its description in RNAcentral is "tRNA.Ala". Lineage: Eukaryota; Metazoa; Chordata; Mammalia; Rodentia; Sciuridae. The record is from RNAcentral.
GUGGGGCUGUGGCUCAGAGGCAGAGUGCUCGCCUAGCACAUGCCAGGUACUGGGUUCGACCCUCAGCACCACA